UUGACAAUGAAUAACGAGAGGAAAACGAUAUUUUCCGUGUGAUAAUUUUCUUACGUCGUUUUAACAAAGAUUUCACAUUAUUGUUCGUUUCAGCGACGAAAAAUUCGUCGAUUCGAUUGUUGUCGAUGGAUCCAUCAGUGACAGCAACGGACUCGAUCUCCGAAUUGAAAACUUUUGUGCACAAAUCGACGAAAUCUGGUUUCAAUUUGACACCGGAAGGAACGAAGAUUUUUGUUUUUAUUCUAACAUCGUAUUUCUGCAAUGUGUUUAAUGCGUUUGAUUACGUGGCACGUUUCCGAAAAUGUUUUUUUUUUUUUUUUUUUUUUUUUUUUCAAUAAAAACGAUUUCAGAAUAUUUUUAUACUGAAAACGUGGAACGCUGCUUUGGAAAGUGUUUUUUAGACCCUGAAAAGCAGCGUUCUCGUUCCUCGAUGCCAGACCCUAAAUUGCAAUAAUGCAGGUGAGACUCACCGCCAAUUCGUUCAUGAAGAUCGCAUAACCAACUUUAGCCAUUUGAGUUUUAUUUUCCGGAAGGCCAAUCGCGUCCAGGAACAUCGCUCUGGUUUCGCCUCGAGCUCCAUAAGACAGCAUUGACAGAGGGAUGAAAACGCUUAACGGUGAAGUAGUUACGUCAAUGGUUUUGUACUCAGCCCGUUUCUGUGAAAGUAGCAAAAUAAAAGCAAAAAAACAUUUUUUUUUCGUUUUCCUUUCAGCGUACCUGAAAGUAGAAGGAGGAGAAAUUGCUUGCGAGUUCCAGGACGAGCCAUUCACAAAAAUUUCGAUCUGAACACGAUUCACCAAUUGAUGGAAGAGCCGCCUCUGCGUUCUGAAGUACCGUAGGAACUGCAUUUGCAACUCCACAACGAAAGACUGGAACUUUUCUGCAAUGGCGGAUCCGAGGAGUCCGCUCUUUAUACCCCUGCGUCGCCUCUAAUAAAGUGUCUCGAACAAAUACAGCGAUCAACUUCUACGUAAUAAUUAGAAAGAGCGCAGAGUGAAGAAAUUUUCUCAGAAACCAUGUUCGAUAUUAAACAUUAAACGGCAAAGAUCCAUCUGUGGCAAUAUUUACAAUAGACAUCACACUGUGAGCUCGAAUAAUUUUUUGAAUAUCAUCGAUGUAACAACCUACAGAUAGAAAAAUAGGCGGCUCUGGGCACUAUUUUUCUCAAUAACACCUUUAACAACGUCGAUUAUCGAAAACGAAUACAAUUUCUCGGCGCACAUGUCUUGUAUCGAACAGAAAAUAACCUGCAAAAUCACACUCAAUUUCUUCCAAAUUAUGAAUUUAUGAUGCUACGAUAAAUUUCACGGAACUUGUAAUUAUUAAUCAAUUGAAAAAUUGUUCGUGUGUGUUCAUGCAAGAGAAGAAUUGCUUCUCCUACAUGAUAAGAGAUAAGAGGCAACGAAUACGACUUUAGAAACUCCGCUCUAUUUUUUCCUCCAACGAUAAAAAGCCACUUGUAACAAUAAUAAGACCAAAUAUCGAACAACUUUAUAAUGAAAUUUUCGAAACUCGACGCAAAAACGAGAUGCCUACGAACCGAUGUAAAUAGAAAACACUUUAUAGAGCAGCUAUUUCAAUCGAACGUUUUUUUUUCAUCAAAUUUGUUGAUUAGCGAACGAAUAAGAUUUUUAAACCAAACCCCAAUUUAUUGCUGUCUUCGUGUAGGAGAAAGCAACAUCCCAGAGCGAACCAUUCGUUUUUGACAUUUUGUGUACCAGUAGAAGCAAUAGAAAUUAUAGUGACGUUCUGUCAGAUUCCACUACGAAACAAUAUAAAACGGGGUUGAAGCAACGGGCCCAUUUUUGCAGUGAAGUAAACACAGAUUUCUACAAGCCUAAGAAAGAACAGUUACUACAGUUCUUGAGAAAGAAAUUUAAGCAAGGAGCAAACUAUGCGACAUUGAAUACAUUUAGGUCGACAAUAGCUUUAAUCUGAAAUAACAAAAUUGGAAAAAGCCCGAUGAUAUGUCGAUUUGUGAAAGGUGUGUUUAAAAUGAGACCUACAAGGUCAAAAUAUUCACAGACCUGAGAUGUUGCAAUUGCGUGUUGAAACAUUUAGAAAAAUAUUUUCCUUUAGAUAAGAUAUCGUUAACAGAUUUAACCAAGAAAACUAAUGUUUCAUCUUUCGUCCAAAAAAAUACUCUUCGUUACUGGGAGUACAGCAUUUCAAAGGGGAGAGCCGUAAGUAUUGAAGGACGAGGGGGGAAAAAAUGAAAGGUAUUGUGUUCGAGGUUGAAUAAAAGCCCAUGAAACGGU
This 2258-nucleotide long non-coding RNA is filed under the name Venturia canescens. Its description in RNAcentral is "uncharacterized LOC122415482". The record is from RNAcentral. Lineage: Eukaryota; Metazoa; Arthropoda; Insecta; Hymenoptera; Ichneumonidae.